Molecule: ribosomal RNA, 492 nt
Filed under: uncultured bacterium
Lineage: Bacteria
Description: partial 16S ribosomal RNA
Rfam family: Bacterial small subunit ribosomal RNA
Source: RNAcentral
AUUGAACGCUGGCGGCAGGCCUAACACAUGCAAGUCGAACGGUAACACGGUACAGGUUUCUGUUUCCCUGUCGCGUGUCGGGCGGGUGUGUGGUAUCCGUCGGACUCUCCUUUUUCGUGGGGUAUCUCGUAGGAACACUAACGCUUAUACCGUAUCCUCCCUACGGCAGAAAGCGGGGGAUCUUCGGCCCUUGCGCUCUUGUAUGCGCCGAUGUCGGAUUAGCUAGUUGGCGGGGUAAAGGCCCACCAAGGCGACGAUCCGUAGCUGGUCUGAGAGGAUGAUCAGCCACACUGGAACUGAGACACGGUCCAGACUCCUACGGGAGGCAGCAGUGGGGAAUAUUGGACAAUGGGCGCAAGCCUGAUGCAGCCAUGCCGCGUGGAUGAAGAAGGCCUUCGGGUUGUAAAGCACUUUUGGCGGGGAGGAAAAGAAGAAGGUUAAUACCUUGGCGCAUUGACGGUACCCGAAGAAGAAGCACCGGCUAACUUCGUG